AUUGAACGCUGGCGGCAGGCCUAACACAUGCAAGUCGAGCGGAUGAAGGGAGCUUGCUCCUGGAUUCAGCGGCGGACGGGUGAGUAAUGCCUAGGAAUCUGCCUGGUAGUGGGGGAUAACGUCCGGAAACGGGCGCUAAUACCGCAUACGUCCUGAGGGAGAAAGUGGGGGAUCUUCGGACCUCACGCUAUCAGAUGAGCCUAGGUCGGAUUAGCUAGUUGGUGGGGUAAAGGCCUACCAAGGCGACGAUCCGUAACUGGUCUGAGAGGAUGAUCAGUCACACUGGAACUGAGACACGGUCCAGACUCCUACGGGAGGAAGCAGUGGGGAAUAUUCGACAAUGGGCGAAAGCCUGAUCCAGCCAUGCCGCGUGUGUGAAGAAGGUCUUCGGAUUGUAAAGCACUUUAAGUUGGGAGGAAGGGCAGUAAGUUAAUACCUUGCUGUUUUGACGUUACCAACAGAAUAAGCACCGGCUAACUUCGUG
RNAcentral lists this ribosomal RNA (484 nucleotides) under uncultured bacterium. RNAcentral describes it as "partial 16S ribosomal RNA". It matches the Rfam family "Bacterial small subunit ribosomal RNA", at positions 30 to 507 of the family's 1533-position model. The record is from RNAcentral.